Molecule: ribosomal RNA, 625 nt
Filed under: uncultured bacterium
Lineage: Bacteria
Description: bacterial SSU rRNA
Rfam family: Bacterial small subunit ribosomal RNA
Source: RNAcentral
AGCUGGCGGCACGCCUAAACAUGCAAGUCGAACGAAGUAGCAAUACUUAGUGGCAGACGGGUGAGUAACAUGUAGGUAUCUACCCUUUGGCCUGGAAUAACACGAGGAAACUUGUGCUAAUACCGGAUAAGUCUUUACGGAGAAAGCUUUAUGCACCAUUGGAUGAGCCUGCACUUGAUUAGUUUGUUGGUGGGGUAAUGGCCUACCAAGACUGUGAUCAAUAGCUGAUUUGAGAGGAUGAUCAGCCACAUUGGGACUGAGACACGGCCCAAACUCCUACGGGAGGCAGCAGUGGGGAAUCUUGCACAAUGGAGGAAACUCUGAUGCAGCGAUGCCGCGUGAGUGAAGAAGGCCUUUGGGUUGUAAAGCUCUUUCGUCGGGGAAGAAAAUGACUGUACCCGAAUAAGAAGGUCCGGCUAACUUCGUGCCAGCAGCCGCGGUAAUACGAAGGGACCUAGCGUAGUUCGGAAUUACUGGGCUUAAAGAGUUCGUAGGUGGUUGAAAAAGUUAGUGGUGAAAUCCCAGAGCUUAACUCUGGAACUGCCAUUAAAACUUUUCAGCUAGAGUAUGAUAGAGGAAAGCAGAAUUUCUAGUGUAGAGGUGAAAUUCGUAGAUAUUAGAAAGA